GAGUUCAGAAGUGUGCUCUUCCUAUCGUGACCUGAGCCGAAGCCGGACGCUUCACCGACAGAGCCCCGCAGGCGCCCCAGAGAACCCCAAAAUCUUCAAGUCGCACAAUCUCAUAGCAACCAAGCUGCACCCCCAUUCACUCUGCAUAUCUUUGUCCUCACGGGCCGCCAUAAGGAAUUUCCACAGACCGGGCGGCUUAAACAACAGAAACUCAUUUUCUCACAGUGCUGGAGGCCGGUAGUCUAAGACCAAGGUGCCGGCCAAUCGGGUCUGUGGCAAGAGCUGUCUUCCUGGCCUGCGGGCAGCUGCCAUCUGGCCAUGUCCUCAUGUGGCCCUUCCUUACUGCACGUGCACGGACAUGAAGAGAGCCAGUGGCUCUCUGGCAUCUGUUCUUGUAAAACCACUCACCCUAUCCGAUCAGGGCCCCCACUCAUGACCACAUGUAAACUGAUUGCCUCCCCAAAGCCCAUCUCUAGAUACAGCCACACUGGGGUCAGGGCUUCAACAUGAAUUGGGGGGAGGGUGGCAGGGGGACACAAUUCAGUCGGAUGAGGUUUUUGGGGUGAUAGUGGGGCUCAGGGGGUCCAGAGACGACGGCCAAGAACGAAUUCUUAAAGAUGUCUCUGGUGCAAAAAGGUGAUUUUAUUUGGGGCGCCUGGGUGGUGCAG
Herpailurus yagouaroundi (jaguarundi) is the source of this 668-nucleotide long non-coding RNA. RefSeq lists it as uncharacterized. The transcript is spliced from 3 exons. The record is from RefSeq and is a predicted model, not a curated record. NCBI's taxonomy places the organism in Eukaryota, Metazoa, Chordata, Mammalia, Carnivora, Felidae.